AAGCGACUGGAAACACGCUCCGUGCGGGGCUCUCGGAAUGUGUUUACUCGCACCCUUGGGGCUAUCGCUCCCCACCACGUCUGCAAGUCCGGCGAAGUUCCCGAACCCGCCCGCCAAGCGCGAGUCACCGCGCUGCUCUUCUGUCCGUGCGCCCCGUUUCGUGAUUCAGCAUCCGCGCCCCGAACCGCUCCCUCCGCACCCGCCGCUCCGACCCCGGCAGGGAGGCAAGGAAGGAAGGAGGGAGGGAAAGAGGGAGGGACGGCCGGGCUGGGGCCCCGCGGGGGCGGCUCAGGGGUGCCCUUGGGGCGGUGCCCGGCGCGGGGGCCCGGGGCCGGCGGCCGCGCUCCGCUGGAGCCGCUCCCGCCGCGGGCAGCGGAGCGCGCCGGGGCAGCGCCCGGGAGGAAAGUCCGGGGGCGCGGCCGCUUCCUCGCCCCGUGGCCGGACUUGUCUCCGGCUGCGAGGCCGCGGCGCUCCCUCGCCUCCCCUCGGAGCCCGAGUCGCCGCUGGCCUCCGGGACACGUUAAAUCCCGUGUAAUGAGGCUUAACCCCGCCCCGCAGCCGGGCGGGCAGGCAGCCAGCCAGCCGGGCCCCUGCCCGGGGAGACCCCCCCGCUCCGAGCGCCCGCAGCUGUUCCAGCCGGAGCUGCUGGAAAGCGGCCACGCUCCCCAGACUUUGUCUCCCUCGCACACAGCGCUGAACUCUGCUCCCUCCCUCCUUCCCAUCCCCCGGGGCGCCCGCGGCUCCCCCCGCCUCCACCGCCCCGAGCCGCAGACGCGCGGCGGGGGGAAGGGGGAGCGCUCUCGCCGCCGGGCUCCAGCCGCCUCCCCGGGGGCUCCGCGGGGCUCGGGGGGAAGCGAGCGCCGCCGGGGUGGGCACCGAGCGCUGCUCCCGGAGCCGCGUCCUGCGGAGCGCAGCCCGUGUGCGGAGAGCGACGGGGCUAUCCGCCGCGGAGCGGCCGCUCGCUUCCAGAAGGGGCUUUUCCUUUUCCACGGGGGAAAUAAAUAA
This 1005-nucleotide long non-coding RNA is filed under the name Parus major (Great Tit). Its description in RNAcentral is "lncRNA (ENSPMJG00000005066.1)". The record is from RNAcentral. Lineage: Eukaryota; Metazoa; Chordata; Aves; Passeriformes; Paridae.